CAAAAAAUAGUUUAUAAGAAUAUUAAUUUUGGAGAUUAAAGGUAUAAAAAUUUUAAUUAUUUUUUUGA
RNAcentral lists this transfer RNA (68 nucleotides) under Pheidole flavigaster. Its description in RNAcentral is "tRNA-Pro". Lineage: Eukaryota; Metazoa; Arthropoda; Insecta; Hymenoptera; Formicidae. The record is from RNAcentral.